ACAACGAGAAUUAACUGAUAUUUUUAUAGGUGGUUUCCUCCUCUAUAAAGUGAGGGAUGUUGGGCCUGAUGAUCACACAGGUCCCUGUUGGUUUUAAGUCCCACAGCCUCUAUAAGUAUCUUGCUUGCUCAGAUCCUCUGAACCUUAUUCUUUAAAUCAGAUUUCCCGUCAGGAGGGAGUUUGUUGUUGACCUUGCUGUUUGUAGUUCUCACAGUAAAUUAUUAAAUUGCCUUCUGGGCUUAAAGCAAUUUGGUAUGAGUUUGGCCACGACACCAACCAAUUUUCUUUGAGUUUUCCUGCUCCCAGAUACACAACCCACCCCAGGUCCAGACCCUCAAAGCUGAGAAAACAGAUGGCAGACUAGAGAGAGAUCAUAGGAAAUGGAGCCCUUUCCUGGCUGUGAUCAUAAAAUAAUAUUCCCCUCACCACUAACUAGGAAGGAAAUCGGUUUUUAAGGAAAUGUUUUGUUGGUAUUUUAAACAUUGCUGCCAAAUUUUACCAUAUCAUCACUUCUCUCCCUCCAGAUCCUCUCUUGUAACAAACAAAAAAAAAAGGUUCAAUGAAAAAACCCAAGCCACUGGCCGCAUCACAAUAGGAAGUAUUUCUACUGAGCCAGCACUCUGGGGCCAAGAGCUGUCUUUGUUACAUCCCUUAGUGUUCUGAUGUCUCUUGGUGUUCUCCUUCCCUACAGAAGUGCUACUGGUGACGCCUCCACAUCCCAGUUUGGUCCUUGGGGCCUCUAUGUUGACUCCCCUGCAGUCCAACUUGAGCACAUUCAUGAUUGAUUUAAAAUGAUUCUGAGCAGGAUUCUGGGGCUUCAGGAGGCUGCCCAAGGAGGUCAAGCCGUCCAACAGAGCCAGAAUCCCUGAUGCAGAAGGAUGCGCAGGGUGAGCAGAGCCCGGCCCACUCCGCUCCUCUCCUCUCCAGAGGCCUCACCCUCCACGUCCAGCGGAGAAAGGCCGGGGACCGACCCAGCUUGUUUAGGACUGCUUAUAGCUAGCGGGUGUCUGAAAUCCAACUCCCCAGUACCAUGGCGGAUGGUGUUUUCUUCUCAUCCAGGGACAUCAGGGCUUUUUACCUCCAUCCCUUUGCGCUCGGCCGAAGCCUGUGGAUUCUCCUCUUAAAAUGUUUUUAAAGGUAUAAAAUACAUCGUUGUUUUUCAUCCGUGGUCGCCAAAGAGGACCAGCGGCAUCGCAGGGCCCAUUUUCUAUUUUGCCUCCGUGUUUCCAGCGGCCAACAGAGAGCUCACUACAUGUUGGCUAGCUCACAUUGGAUCUGAACCUAAAAAUACUAGGAAAUGGCUUCAAACUUGGCCUCAAGCUGCAUGACCCUAGGCGAGUCACGUCACCCCAUUGCCUAGCCCUUCCGGCUCUUAUACCCUGGAACUGAUGCCCGGGAUCUAGUCUAAGACACAAGGUGGGUUUUCUUUUUUUUUAGUACUAGGAAAGUUGCAGUUUCCUGUUUUCACGGACCAUAUCAUUAGAAUUUGUUGAACAGGAGGACAUGACUGAGGUGACCUCUGAAGCAGCCCAUAAAAGCAGGCCAUCGUCACAGCUUCGGGCCCCAUCUGUUCCACCUUGGGCUCUGGGGUUAUGUAGGAUGUAGCCUCCCUCCGAGCACGGAAUGCCCUCAGAGAGUUCUUGGCUUUUCCUGGCCAAGCGAUGGAUCUCUCAGCUCAGAUGCUUUUUCUUUUCCUCCUUCCUUCUUCCAGCGACCCUGAACUGAGGUUCUUUGAAAUUGUUUUAAACUCUGAAGACACUCUCGUAAACCAUGAAUAAUGGUGAUGUCUGAGUGUACACAUAUAGAGCUUGAUGUGAUGAAUUUGGCUUACAGUCAAGUUAGGCUGAUUUCUAUUUAAUGAUCUUCAUUAUAUUUCACUGCUUAGUAACGAUGUACAAAUAAUAAGCAGCUUCCAGGAAUUAUAGCCAUUAGCAUUACUUUUACAUGGGUAAAGCAGACUUCUAGUUUUCUUUUCACAUUUUCUUUGUUAAUUCUCAAGUAUUUUUGGUCAGUUGGUGAUGACAGUUUCCCUCAUAGGAUAUCAUCUUCACAAAUUUUUAAUUAAUUCAAUUUCAUUUUAACCACAAAGAUUCUGACUAUUAUCCUCCAACAACCUGGCUUCCUUGCCCCGACUACUCUCUGCUCCACAGGCCCAGUUCUGUUCAUAUUCUCCCAUCACAUCCAUUCCUUUCAGCACCUUCUCCAUGAUUCCAAGGGUUCUUGGGUCACUGCCCACUCCCUGCCCUAGAAGGGCAUCUAGAAUGCCAUGUGGUCUUUAGGCAACAAAAGUUCCCAGCCACGAGUCUGUGGAUUUCCCAUAUAGGGUAGAGACUCAAUUCCCUAUUUUUCUUUUUUGUUACUAUAAGCAUUCAGUACUAUAAACUUACCCUGAGUUCUCCUUUGGCUGUAGUCCAUAAAUAUUGAUAUGAAGGAUCUGCUUUGUCAUAUUAUAUUUUACAUUAUAAUUUUAAAAUUCAUCUUUUCCCCUCCAUCAUUCUUUAUUGAAUCAUUAUUUGAUUUUUCAGAAGAGAGCAUCAAUUUUCUUAUUUUGUUAUGUAUAUAGUACUUUGCAAACCUUUAAAUGAUAGCUAUUAUUUUUAUUAUUACUGUCAAUAAACUAGUCUUUUUUUUUAACCCUUAACUUCUG
RNAcentral lists this long non-coding RNA (2647 nucleotides) under Monodelphis domestica (gray short-tailed opossum). Its description in RNAcentral is "lncRNA (ENSMODG00000048511.1)". The record is from RNAcentral. Lineage: Eukaryota; Metazoa; Chordata; Mammalia; Didelphimorphia; Didelphidae.